MicroRNA precursor from Setaria italica (foxtail millet), 134 nucleotides. Lineage: Eukaryota; Viridiplantae; Streptophyta; Magnoliopsida; Poales; Poaceae. The record is from Rfam.
UGGAUGAGAGCCCUCUGGCUAGCCAAGAAGACUCGCCGAUGCAGCCACAUCGCAUCAUCCAUGGCUAAUGGAUAUGCCAACAGAAGGCACGCAUAGGCAAGUCAUUCUUGGCUACCAAAAGGGGCUCUCCAUCU